RNAcentral lists this ribosomal RNA (494 nucleotides) under uncultured bacterium. Its description in RNAcentral is "partial 16S ribosomal RNA". It matches the Rfam family "Bacterial small subunit ribosomal RNA", at positions 28 to 523 of the family's 1533-position model. The record is from RNAcentral.
GAUGAACGCUGGCGGCAGGCUUAACACAUGCAAGUCGAGGGGUAUAGGUUUUCGGACCUAGAGACCGGCGCACGGGUGCGUAACGCGUAUGCAAUCUACCUUUCACAGAGGGAUAGCCCAGAGAAAUUUGGAUUAAUACCUCAUAGUAUUAUGAAGUGGCAUCAUUUUAUAAUUAAAGUUCCAACGGUGAAAGAUGAGCAUGCGUCCCAUUAGCUAGAUGGUAAAGUAACGGCUUACCAUGGCGACGAUGGGUAGGGGUCCUGAGAGGGAGUUCCCCCACAGUGAUACUGAGACGCGGACCAGACUCCUACGGGAGGCAGCAGUGAGGAAUAUUGGUCAAUGGAGGAAAGUUUGAACCAGCCAUGCCGCGUGCAGGAUGACGGUCCUAUGGAUUGUAAACUGCUUUUGUACGAGAAGAAACACUCCUUCGUGAAGGAGCUUGACGGUAUCGUAAGAAUAAGGAUCGGCUAACUCCGUGCCAGCAGCCGCCGUAA